Pantherophis guttatus is the source of this 3767-nucleotide non-coding RNA. The record is from RefSeq and is a predicted model, not a curated record. NCBI's taxonomy places the organism in Eukaryota, Metazoa, Chordata, Lepidosauria, Squamata, Colubridae.
CGUAGGAUGGUGCCCCCCACCCCUAACUCCUCUAGCCGGUGCAGCAUGAUACCAUGGUCGAUGGUAUCAAAAGCCGCUGAGAGGUGUAAUAGGACCAGGACAGAGGAACAACCCCUGUCCCGAGCCCUCCAGAGAUCAUCAACCAACGCGACCAAUGCCGUUUCCGUGCUGUACCCAGGCCUGAAGCCCGACUGGAACAGAUCCAGAUACGACGAUUCAUCCAGGUACUGGGGGAGCUGUCGCUGUGAUCAUCUUUUUUGACCUUCUGACAAGCAAAGUCAAUGGGGAACCUAGAUUCACUUAACAACCGCGCUAUUAAUUUAACAGUUGCAGUGAUUCAUUUAACAACUGUGGCAAGAAAGGUCGUAAAAUGGAGCCAAACUCACUUAACAAAUGUCCCACGUAGCGACAAAUUUUGGGUUCAAUAGUGGUCGUAAGUCAAGGACUACAUGUAUUCGUGGUCAUUUGAGGGCUGUUCAGUUUUCAUACUUAAAUUGCAGCUUUGGGUGGAGAGUUGAUGGAUAAUCCCCUAUAUACCUGUACCUUUAUACAGUACAGGUAUAUAGUCCUCAACUUACAAGAGUUCUUUUAGUGACCGUUCAAAGUUUCAAUACCACUUAUGGCUGCUUUUCACACUUACGACUGUUGCAGUACCCCAUGGUCAUGUGAUCAAAAUUCAGACAUUUGGCAACUGGCAUGUAUUUGUGAAAGUUGCACUUUCCCGAGAUCAUAUGAUCCCCUUUUGCGACCUUCAAAAGUCAAGGUCAACGGAGGAAGCCAGCUUCACUUAACAACCGUGUUACUAAUUUAUCAACUGCAGUGACUCACUUAACUGUGGCAAGAAAGAUAAUAAAAUAGGGCUAAACUCACUUAGCAACUGUCUCGCUUAACAACAAAUUUUUGUGAUCAUACGUCGAGGACUACCUGAAGUUCAGUGUUUGUGGGAAUAUAUUGAUAGGAUAGGAUUUGCAUAAAGCAAACAUUACAUAUGCAUGAAAAGAUGUAGCAACAUUUGGAAAGCUACGUACCACUAUUGUCUUUCUGCUUCCAGGCCAUGAAAUUUCCUCUCUGCAAUAGAUCCUAUCUUAAGCUAGCAAUGGUAAUGAAGGAAAGCAGGGAUAAGGUUUAGCUCAGUUCUGGGUUUUUUUCCCUUUGCUUCUAGAAAUGUCAAGGGUGCCUUGUGUAUUUGUUUUUUCAUCACCAUUUUAAUGUUUCUUUACAAUUAUGCAGGAACUGAGAACAUUUCCAAAUCCUGCCUGGGGUUAUUUGUGAAGAGAACAUAUUUUCUCUUUCCGUUCUGGGCAGGCUGACUUUCCAAGAUGUGAUUGUAUUUAGUGCUAAAAGGUGUUGGACUAAUGUGGAUUCAAGUUCAUUCUUGUGCAUAGAAACUUACUGGCUGAUUUUGAACCAGUUACAUUUUGUCAGCCAAACCGGCCUACUUGAACUCCAGAAAUAAAUUAGAAGAUAAUCCAAGAAAUUUAAAAAAUAGUUGAACUCAGGACCACAUUUUUUUUUAAAAAAAAUUGAUUUAUAUGCUGCCCUUCUCGGGAGACUCAGGGCGGCUUACAGUGCGUUAAGCAAUAGCCUUCAUACUUUUGUAUAUUUUAUACAAAGUCAGCUUAUUUCCCCCACAAACUGGGUCCUCAAUUUACCUACCUUAGAAAGGAUGGAAGGCUGAGUCAACCUUGAGCCUGGUGAGAUUUGAACUUACAGUAAUUGCAGACAGCUGGUGUUAAUCACAGUGCUAUCAGUCUGCUGAGCCACCAGGCCCAUAUCAUAGUCUCAUGUCAAGUCGUAUUAGAGUAUUACAAGAACGUGCCUUCUCUGCGUAAGGAUUAAUCAGAAUAGAGCUGGAAGGGACCUUGGAAGUCUUCUAAUCCAUCCCCCUCUCAAGCAGGAGACCCUACAUCAUUUCAGACAAGUGACUGUACAGUCUCUUCUUAAAAAUGUCCAGUGAUGGAGUGCCCGUGAUUUCUGAAGGCAAACUGUUUCACUGGUUAAUUGUUCUCACCGUUAGGAAGUUUCUCCUUAAUUCCAGGUUGCUCCCCUCUUUGAUUAGUUUCCAUCCAUUGUUUCUUGUCCGGCCUUCUGCUUUGGAAAAUAAGUUGACCCCAUCCUCUUUGUGGCAGCCCCCCCCCCCCACCGGAAUACUGCUAUCAUGACCCCCCUCCCCAGUCCUUCUUUUCUCUAGACUAGCCAAACCCAGUUCCUGCAACUGUUCUUAUAGUUUUUAGUCUCCAGGCCUUUUAAUCAUCUUAGUUGCUUUUCUCUACACUUUUUUCCAAAGUCUCACCAUCUUUUUUGUAACAGGACCAAAACUGGACGCAGUAUUCCAGGUGUAGUCAUGCUAAGGCUUUGUAAUACUUUGUGUGAUUUUGAUCCUCUGUUUAUACAGUUAUACAAUCAAAUUAUACAAUAAAAAUAUAAGUGGAUUCAUUGUUAUCUUGAUCAAACAAUGCUGAUGAUAAGAGUGUCUCACCUUUAACUGAACUAUUUAUGAUCAUCUUUGUCCAUCCUACUUUGUAGGCUUGUUGUGAGGGAAGAUGGAGGGACCUUUGAGCUCCAGGAGAAAAGCUCUCUUAAGGCCAGAUCCCUUUUCAUUGCAGCAUCCAGCAGAUGAGCCAAGCCAAGCCAAGUGUAUUUGAAAGAGCCAUGUAUCAAGAGGCAAAAAUUAAUUUUGAGUAUCGGGUUGCAGAAAUGGAAGUUGUUUAAAAUCCAGACCAAAAUGUACAUGGAAGAGAGAAAAGCAAGAUAUGUACAUAGAAAAGGCAUCCAACAAGGUUACUCUGUAGGGAGAAAAAUGGCUCUAUAAAUAAUAUAAACGCUGAGAAGACCUUUAGUGUUGCUACAAAGACCAUCAUUUCUCAAAUAUUUACCGAGUAAAGAAAUCAUAUUAGCCCUGGAAUGAGGAAAGAGCUGUACUCAGAAUGCAAAUCUUACCAAGCAUUGAAGAAUUUAUAUAGAGGAGAAACCGUGUAAGUGCAUGAAAUGUUGCCUUAGAUAUCUGAAAGAAUGAUUAUUAUUUCUUAUUAUUUAUUUAAAUUUAUUGGCUGCCCAAUUCCAAUGCGGUGUUCUUUCAGUGAAUUCAUACAGAAGAGAACAUAUAAAUGCCACUGGACUCAAAUUUUGCAGCCUCGGGGCUUCAGAAAUUCUAUUGUGCUGAAUAUUAAUAGUCAACACUAAAGAAAGCAUGUUUUAAGGAGAAGCAGAAAACUAUAAAUCUUUAUUUAGGCUUAACUCAGAGGAAACUCGGCCUAAUCCCUCUGCAGAAACGGAGGAAAGUCUUAGAAAUCUCAGCUUUCUCCACUAUUAAUUGACCCAGCCAAUGCAAUUAUGGAUGUUGGUCAUCUCUUUCAUGAAAUCAAGUUGCUGAGAACAUGAGCUGCUGCCCUGUUGUGACCAUGUGUUUUAUAAAGAAGCCUUCCAAAAGACAAUAUUUCCCAAUUUUGACACCUUUAAAUUAAGUGGACUUCAGCUCCCAAUAUUCUCCAGCCAGGGGAAUUGUGGAAGAUGGCAAGCAUGUUGUAAAACCUUGCCCAAAGGCUUCUGAUAGCCUUCCAAACACUUAGUAAAAUGGAGCUCUUUUGGAAGAAUUUGGUUUAGUUUUGGGGAUAGUGCUGUCUUGUGUUAUUCUAAUGGCCGUACUAAUUCCUGUAUUAUGAAAAUCAAGGAAGUCACUAUAUAUGUAGUUGCCCUUGCCACCUAUGAGCAGAUUGCCUAUAGAUGUUGUCUUUGUGUGGACAAAUUAAUUGAGAUAUGGGACUCAU